AUGCAAAGUGUUCAUUCUUUUUUUGUAAAAAGAGAAAAUCAGGGAAUAGACGAGUCUGCUUCUUGUAUUUAUGGUGGUUUUAGUAUGCUCUUUUGCAUCACUGAUUCUCUCUGCUUUUCUCCACAGGGGAGGAAUUCCAGUUGUAGAGAGCUUUUACAAAGCCAAGCAGCUGUGUCUAUACUUCAGUCUUGGAGACAAAGGGAUAUUCCUGAAGAUGUCAGUGAGAAAAUAAGAGAUGACUGAAAGAGCAUCUUGGCUUGUGGGACCUGCUGGCAUCUAACGGCUGUGCAAGACUUCCUCUCUGUGUUAGGGAGCACUUGGAGCUCCCUCACACAUUUUCUUGUGGACAAUUCCUUUUCUUGCAACCUUCCCUAUCCUGGUGCUCCUCAAAGGCUUUGCUUGAGGAGAUUUGGCUCUAGGGUCUUGACAACACUCAUUAAAUCCAUAUUCAAAUAUCUGCACCUAAGGACCAAGCAGGACCACCAUGUUGCUGAUGCAGCCAUUGAGUCUGUUGGCUCUAGAGCAGCUGUAGGGGCUUCUUAAGGAGAUGCUUCCUAGGCUACAUUGAUAUGGAGACAGAAUCCCUGUACCACAGGAUGUCCUUCACCCCAUGAAGCUUCUGAAACAAAGGUUCCAUCUGUUCUCCUGCAGUGCCUCUUACAACUCACUGUGCUCCAGUCUUGAGUCUGAAUGUUGGAUAAAUCUCUUAAUCAAAUUUCUUGUGCAGUUUUAAACUUUGCCUGCGGAAAUCUUUUUACUGAAUGUGUAUUUAGACAAGAGCACAGUGUCACUUUUCUUAUGGAACAAAUCUUGCUGAAUGAGAGUAAAUGGAACCUAUAAAUUUAGCGCUUGUGACCUAUAAAACAUAUCACAAUGAGUGGAAAAAUGCUUCCAGCAACCUCCUUUUUGAUUCCUUUAGAGAAGAAACAAGUCUGUGGUUAACAUAUAUAUAUAUAUAAAUAUAUAUAUACAAUCUCAAACCCUGUGCGUUUGGCAUUUACUAGUUUUUUGCCAAUGAGAGAACAAGUGUACAUGUAGCCAACUCCACUUACAGAAAUGUGAUCUCCUUCACCCUCCGGAAGCCAGAAAUGUUUCCUAUCAAGUGGUAUAGUGGAACUUACCACCACAAAUGAAGAUCUUUGAUGAAAUCAUAUGAAUAGAUUUGUUCAAACUGCAGUGUAUAAUUUGGCUGCUCCACAAAUGGAAACAAAAGAAAUCAGCUCUUGCCGACUGGUGUGUGUUGUGUUGUCUGUUUAAAGAUGUUACUUAUUUCUGGGAUCCACUGCAUGGAUUUUAAUUUAUGCUGGAAAUAGAAAAUAAAUGGAAGAUAAAUAAUUAAGCA
RNAcentral lists this long non-coding RNA (1342 nucleotides) under Numida meleagris (helmeted guineafowl). Its description in RNAcentral is "lncRNA (ENSNMEG00000013014.1)". The record is from RNAcentral. Lineage: Eukaryota; Metazoa; Chordata; Aves; Galliformes; Numididae.